Molecule: ribosomal RNA, 495 nt
Filed under: uncultured bacterium
Lineage: Bacteria
Description: bacterial SSU rRNA
Rfam family: Bacterial small subunit ribosomal RNA
Source: RNAcentral
UGGGGAAUAUUGGACAAUGGGCGCAAGCCUGAUGCAGCAAUGCCGCGUGAGUGAAGACGGCCUUAGGGUUGUAAAACUCUUUCGCUAGGGAAGAUAAUGACGGUACCUAGUAAAGAAGUCCCGGCUAACUCCGUGCCAGCAGCCGCGGUAAUACGGAGGGGACUAGCGUUGUUCGGAAUUACUGGGCGUAAAGAGUUCGUAGGCGGACUAGCAAGUUAGAGGUGAAAUCCCAGGGCUCAACCUUGGAACUGCCUUUAAAACUGCUAGUCUAGAGACCGGAAGAGGUUAGGGGAAUACCUAGUGUAGAGGUGAAAUUCGUAGAUAUUAGGUGGAACACCAGUGGCGAAGGCGCCUAACUGGUCCGGUACUGACGCUGAGGAACGAAAGCGUGGGGAGCAAACAGGAUUAGAUACCCUGGUAGUCCACGCCGUAAACGAUGAGUGCUAGAUGUUGGGAUUUUCGGAUUUCAGUGUCGCAGCUAACGCAUUAAGCACU